GACGAACGCUGGCGGCGUGCUUAACACAUGCAAGUCGAACGAGACCUUCGGGUUUUGUGGCGCACGGGUGGGUAAGGCGUGGGGACCUGCCCUUGGGUUCGGAAUACCUUCCCGAAAGGGGUGCUCAUACCGGAUGGUGUCUUAGGAGAAAAGAUUUAUUGCCUUUGGAUGGGCCCGCGGUGGAUUAGUUAGUUGGUAGGGUAAAAGCCUAGCAAGGGGACGUUCCAUAGCUGGUCUGGGAGGAGGAUCAGCAACGCUUGUACUGAGGCACGGCCCAGACUCCGACGGAGGACAGCAGUGGGGAGUAUUAUGCAAGGAGCGAAAGCCUGAUACAGCAGCGCCGCGGGAGUGAGGAAGUGCUUAGGGUUGUAAAGCUCUUUUACCCGAGAUGAUAAUGACGGUACCGGGAGAAUAAGCACCGGCUAACUCCGUG
RNAcentral lists this ribosomal RNA (433 nucleotides) under uncultured bacterium. RNAcentral's name for it is "partial 16S ribosomal RNA". It matches the Rfam family "Bacterial small subunit ribosomal RNA", at positions 28 to 507 of the family's 1533-position model. The record is from RNAcentral.